This 362-nucleotide ribosomal RNA is filed under the name Pruvotinidae sp. 3 FSB-2019. RNAcentral describes it as "partial large subunit ribosomal RNA". Lineage: Eukaryota; Metazoa; Mollusca; Solenogastres; Cavibelonia; Pruvotinidae. The record is from RNAcentral.
GAAUUUAUUUAAACGGCCGCAGAAUUUUAACUGUGCUAAGGUAGCAUAAUCAUUUGUUGUUUAAAUGGCAACUAGUAUGAAUGGUUAAACGAUUCCUUUCUGUCUAUCAUUAACAUCUAAUAAAAAUUGUUAUUAAAGUUAAAAAGCUUUAAUGAAAAUAAAAGACAAAAAGACCCUGUAGAGUUUUAUUUCAAAUUUUAAAAUUUAAAUUUAUUGAAUUUUAGUUGGGGCAACUAGAAAAAUUUUAUAAAUUUUUCUAAAAUAAUAAAUAAUUUUAUCAUUAUUAUUAAUAAUUCUAAUAAUUACCUCGGGGAUAACAGAAUAAUUUUUCUUUUAGAGUUCAAAUCGACAAGAAGACUUAU